GUGGUGCUCCAAAACAAUUAUAAAUGUAACGUCAGAGAUCAUUGAUCAUGGAUCACUGUAACAGAUACAACAAAAAAAUUGAAAUGUUGUGAGAGUUACCAAAAUGUGACCCAGUCACAAAGUGAACACAUGUUGUUGGAAAAAUGGCACCAAUAGACUUGGUCAAUGCAGAAUCACCACAAACCUUCAAUUUGUAAAGAACAGUAUCUGCAAAGUUCAAGAAAAUGGCUUAUGCCUGUACCUAUCUCUUAGACAGCCUGGGAGGAGUAAAUGAGAUAUGGGUAAAGAAGGCCUUAGAACUCUGUCUGGACAGCACAAGCAAUGGAUGAAAGCUGGCUGUUGCGUUGUUGAUGAUGCUAUGUGAGAAAAACCACCCUCGAGGCUUCUUAUAGCCUUUUGUUUAUAAUGUUUUCUGACUAACAGAAGUUCUACAUUUGAAUAUUGUUUAAUUUAUUGGUCUUUUCUUUCGGCAUGUGAACUUCUAAGUCCUGUUAAAUUUCCUACUAAGACGUCAUUAAGGUUUCAUAUUGCCUUUCACAUUUAAGUUUCAUCGGAAAUUCGUUUCAUGUAGGAUGUGGCAAAGGAAUCCAGUUUCUUUCCUUUUCAAUAGAUAACCUGUUGUUUCAGCAUCACUUAUUGAAUUUGAAUAUUUCUCUCCUCUGAAAGGAAACACUGUACAAAGCUGCCCAUUUUUCAACAUCUGAAGGUGAUCAUAUUAAUAUUUAGUAAAGUUUUCUAGGUUAUAUAAGAUGAAGGUUAAAUCUACUUCCUGUUAUACCAUGAUGGAUACAGAAUUCAUCUGUGUUCAAAUCUUUUGGAAAUUCUGCAAUUAAGUUAGGUUGGUACCUCUCAGAAUUUCUUCUUAAAUCCUGAGUUUAAAAUGGGAAAAGCCUCCACUAUUCACUUGAGAAUCUGUUAUAAUUUGAUUAUCACUUCUUUGUGUUUUCCCAUUAGCUAUUACAAAUAUUUUCUCUACAUUUCAGUGUUUUAUAGUUUUUGCUUUGAUUUAUCUUGGAAUUCAUUCAGAUUCCUCUAUGUGAGUAUUGGUGUGUUUCAAAACUUCUGUAAAAUUAUCAAACUUUACCUCUUUGACUAUUGCAUAUUCACGUUCUUUCUAGUGUAUAUUUCUGGAGCUCCAAUUAGACAAGCAUUUCUAAUUAUUUUUCUUUUUGCAAUUGAUUCCUCUGGAAGUCUGGCAAGGACUAAGAACAUCUUC
Molecule: long non-coding RNA, 1216 nt
Filed under: Homo sapiens (human)
Lineage: Eukaryota; Metazoa; Chordata; Mammalia; Primates; Hominidae
Description: HSALNT0031492
Source: RNAcentral